Molecule: long non-coding RNA, 900 nt
Organism: Lagopus leucura (white-tailed ptarmigan)
Lineage: Eukaryota; Metazoa; Chordata; Aves; Galliformes; Phasianidae
Exons: 4
Source: RefSeq, a predicted model, not a curated record
UAAUGGACACGGCAAAACAGAACAAGCACAGUGGCCUGCCUCUGGCUUCCCACCUUCAUGGGAGACUGUCUUGUUUCACUUGUCUGGGGCACGUUGCCCUCCAGCACUUCUCCUGAGCAGAAGUCACAGACUGAGUCACAGCUGGGUGUUGUCUGGCUGAAGCUUCCUACCACCAAGUUUCAGAAAAAACUUGUGACCUGCAAACUUGACCUAUAUAAACAGAAGGUUUUUCUGUGCAGUAAGUGAACAGUUUGGCACAAAUAGUAAUAUGCCUAUGGAGAACUGCUCUACUAAGUCUGGUACUCAUCAUCGUGAUUUGUUUCCUUCUGCGAGUGCUGCCAUUCACUAAGCAGCUAGAACACAGGCGCAGAGGAUAGAGAUUAAAUGCCACUGUCUGCCUUCUGGAGUCUGAUUCUGCAGUUCAAAUUAUAUUCAGCUACAGAACAGCCAGUGCUCACUACAGAUUUGACUGCAAUGAAGAUGUGGAACAAAACAUCUGGUUCUCCAGGGAAAAUGGAAGGCAUCUCAGCCAUCUUCUCAUAGAUCACCUAUACCAGCAUUUGGCACAGAAUAGGUAUGUACAUAUAUAAUGCAUAUCUCCCUGAUCCCCUUUACUUACCAUUGUGUUGAGCAGAACAGAGGAAGGCCUGCCAUGUGGUCACAAACUUCGGUGCAUCUGGCCAUGACCUGCCUUUCUAGUUUCCAUGCAGCAGCAUACAAACAUUUCUUUCUGUUACGGAAGUCCUCAGAGUUCCUCUGCUAUUGAGUAAAAUGACUAAGACAAAUCUUAAAUGAAGAAAAUUAGCUUUAUUUAUGUAAAUUAGAAAAAUGAACUGUUAGAACUUUGGUCAAAUGGUUAAUUCUGUACAAUUUACAAUUAUAUUUAUAUACAAGACUUAA